RNAcentral lists this ribosomal RNA (490 nucleotides) under uncultured bacterium. Its description in RNAcentral is "partial 16S ribosomal RNA". It matches the Rfam family "Bacterial small subunit ribosomal RNA", at positions 30 to 507 of the family's 1533-position model. The record is from RNAcentral.
AUUGAACGCUGGCGGCAGGCCUAACACAUGCAAGUCGAACGGUAACAGAAAGCAGCUUGCUGCUUUGCUGACGAGUGGCGGACGGGUGAGUAAUGUCUGGGAAACUGCCUGAUGGAGGGGGAUAACUACUGGAAACGGUAGCUAAUAUCGCAUAACGUCGCAAGACCAAAGAGGGGGACCUUCGGGCCUCUUGCCAUCGGAUGUGCCCAGAUGGGAUUAGCUAGUAGGUGGGGUAACGGCUCACCUAGGCGACGAUCCCUAGCUGGUCUGAGAGGAUGACCAGCCACACUGGAACUGAGACACGGUCCAGACUCCUACGGGAGGCAGCAGUGGGGAAUAUUGCACAAUGGGCGCAAGCCUGAUGCAGCCAUGCCGCGUGUAUGAAGAAGGCCUUCGGGUUGUAAAGUACUUUCAGCGGGGAGGAAGGGAGUAAAGUUAAUACCUUUGCUCAUUGACGUUACCCGCAGAAGAAGCACCGGCUAACUCCGUG